RNAcentral lists this ribosomal RNA (253 nucleotides) under uncultured bacterium. RNAcentral's name for it is "partial 16S ribosomal RNA". It matches the Rfam family "Bacterial small subunit ribosomal RNA", at positions 524 to 776 of the family's 1533-position model. The record is from RNAcentral.
UACGGAGGGUGCAAGCGUUAUCCGGAUUUACUGGGUUUAAAGGGUGCGCAGGCGGAUAUGUAAGUCAGUGGUGAAAUCUCCGGGCUUAACCCGGAAACUGCCGUUGAUACUAUAUAUCUUGAAUGCUGUGGAGGUAAGCAGAAUAUGUCAUGUAGCGGUGAAAUGCUUAGAUAUCUGGAGGAACACCCGUGGCGAAGGCGGCUCUCUGGUCCGAAACUGACGCUGAGGUGCGAAAGCUAGGGUAGCAAACAGG